Molecule: unclassified non-coding RNA, 412 nt
Filed under: soil metagenome
Description: partial contains 5.8S ribosomal RNA, internal transcribed spacer 2, and large subunit ribosomal RNA
Rfam family: 5.8S ribosomal RNA (bases 1-122)
Source: RNAcentral
GAUGAAGAACGUAGCGAAAUGCGAUACUUGGUGUGAAUUGCAGAAUCCCGUGAACCAUCGAGUCUUUGAACGCAAGUUGCGCCCGAAGCCGUCAGGCCGAGGGCACGCCUGCCUGGGCGUCACACGCCGUUGCCCCCCCGCGCCCCGCACCCAACGCUUUGGGAGCGACCGCGGGGCGGGCUGAUGAUGGCCUCCCGUGCGCUCCGCCGCGCGGUUGGCCCAAAUACCGAGUCCCCGGCGACGUGCGCCACGACGAUCGGUGGUUGAGAGACCUCUGUCGCAAGUCGUGCGCGCCCGUCGCGUCACGCGGGCUCGCAUAGCGCCUCGCGCCGCACCCGGUGCGGAGCUUUCAACGCGACCCCAGGUCAGGCGGGGUUACCCGCUGGAUUUAAGCAUAUCAAUAAGCGGAGGA